GACCCUCCCAAAAGCUUGAUAAAUCUACCCGCCGAGAUCCAUCAAGAUUUGAGUAUGUAGUAUCCGCACAGGAUAAUCAUUCUCCAGACAUUAUGUCUUCAAGUACAACUACAAAAAAACCAAAAGGGUAACGAAAAAUGAGUGUUUCUCAAACAAAAGCACCAAAGCAUGCUUCUUAUAUUGAUUCAUUUCCAUUUGGUUUGAGGCCUUAUAUUUGUGGUGUUAGAGAUGUUGCUGCAGAUGGUAAUUGUGGUUUUCGGGCAGUGGCUGACCUAAUAGGUAUUGGUGAAGAUAACUGGGCACAAGUCAGGAAAGACUUAGUUGUUGAGUUGCAAAGUCACUUUAAUGAUUAUAAAAGAGUCUUUGAAUAUGCUGGUAGAGCAGAGGAGGUACUUCAUUCACUUUUAUACUUUGAGAAUAACCCAGGGAGAGAGUAUUGGAUGACCAUGCCUGAAAUUGGUCAUAUUAUUGCUUCUAAAUAUAAUGUGGUAUUACUACAUAUAUCAGAUGUGCUGAAUCUAACAUUCCUUCCACUUAGAUCUAUUCCAUUAUCACGUUCCUUGCAUAAAAUCAUUGCUAUUGGAUUUGUUAAUAGAAAUCAUUUCAUAGAGGUAUGUAAAAGUUUAGAAAUUCAAAGUAUGCUGCAAUAUCUUAAUUAUUGGACUAAUUUUUCUAUGGCUUUUUUUUUUUGCAGGUGUUCAUGCUUCUAGCUUCACCUAUUCCUCCUAUUGCGAAUAGUUGGAUCAAAUAUCAUGAACCAUGUGCAGAAGGCUGGGCAACACCAUACAAAACUAAUAUAAUUGCUUUUAACGAUUUGGUGUUUGAAGUUACCACACAAGAAACAAUUGAUCUAGCUAGUCAAUGAUAGUAUUAGAAAAAUUUGAACCAUUUUAAUAGUCAUUUUAUUCGUUUCAUAUUUUUAAAGAAAGACUUUGUAAAAGCUGGAAUUCUUUAUUUUAUUGUUACUCAAGAUGACAACCUGUCUCUACUCUUUUUGUUAUUAUUAUUAUUUUUUUAACAUUUCCGAGUUUACUCCAACUAUAAACUAAUUUAUGAAUUAUGAUCUACAUACUAUAAAUUUAAGUAAUGCUACAAUUGACUGUAAAUAUUAAAAUAUCAGUAGAAAAAUGAAAAAUAACUUGAUUAAGAGACAAAAUGAAUAGUACCUGAAAUUGAAAUUCAACAUUUUAAAAAUUAAGAAAGUUACUUUUUCAUCUUAUUUUCUGGUGAGGAAUUAUCGGCAUAUGCAACUCAUCAUCAACAAGCUUCAGGAAGAAACCGAGACCCAUGAGGAAAAUUAAGAAAGAAGAAAGUAAUUAUGAAGCAAAGGACGAGCUGAACGAUCAUCGAAAUUAUUUUCUCACCGACAUGUUUUCC
This 1377-nucleotide long non-coding RNA is filed under the name Citrus maxima (pomelo). RNAcentral describes it as "long non-coding RNA (CMAX_LNC003870)". The record is from RNAcentral. Lineage: Eukaryota; Viridiplantae; Streptophyta; Magnoliopsida; Sapindales; Rutaceae.